UCCGGUUUGUCACCGGCAGUCUCAUUAGAGUGCUCUUGCGUAGCAACUAAUGACAAGGGUUGCGCUCGUUGCGGGACUUAACCCAACAUCUCACGACACGAGCUGACGACAGCCAUGCAGCACCUGUGUUCAGGCUCCCUUUCGGGCACUCCCCGAUCUCUCGAGGAUUCCUGACAUGUCAAGGGUAGGUAAGGUUUUUCGCGUUGCAUCGAAUUAAUCCACAUCAUCCACCGCUUGUGCGGGUCCCCGUCAAUUCCUUUGAGUUUUAACCUUGCGGCCGUACUCCCCAGGCGGAGAACUUAUCGCGUUAGCUGCGCCACUAAAGGACAAAGCUCCUCCAACGGCUAGUUCUCAUCGUUUAGGGCGUGGACUAC
Molecule: unclassified non-coding RNA, 374 nt
Filed under: uncultured Gammaproteobacteria bacterium
Lineage: Bacteria; Pseudomonadati; Pseudomonadota; Gammaproteobacteria
Description: contains 16S-23S intergenic spacer region
Source: RNAcentral